AGCGAACGCUGGCGGCAGGCUUAACACAUGCAAGUCGAGCGGGCGAUGGCGGGUUGCAGCGGCGGACGGGGGAGGAAGGCGGGGGAACGUGUACUCUGGUUCGUGAUAACUCAGGGUAACGUGAGCUAAUACGGGAUACGCCCGUAUGGGGAAAGGCUUGCUGACGUAGGAUCGGUCCGCGCCUGAUUAGCUAGUUGGUGAGGUAACGGCUCACCAAGGCGGCGAUCAGUAGCCGGUCUGAGAGGAUGAUCAGCCACACUGGUACUGAGACACGGCCCAGACUCCUACGGGAGGCAGCAGUGGGGAAUAUUGGACAAUGGGCGCAAGCCUGAUCCAGCCAGGCCGGGUGAGCGAUGAAGGCCUUAGGGUUGUAAAGCUCGUUUAUCCGGGACGAUAAUGACGGUACCGGAGGAAUAAGCCCCGGCUAACUUCGUG
RNAcentral lists this ribosomal RNA (435 nucleotides) under uncultured bacterium. RNAcentral describes it as "partial 16S ribosomal RNA". It matches the Rfam family "Bacterial small subunit ribosomal RNA", at positions 30 to 507 of the family's 1533-position model. The record is from RNAcentral.